GGGGAUGAUCGGUUUCGACAGCGAUGAUUGAUCGAUGUGAAGCGGGCCGAGGAUGUGUACUGACCUCGUUAACCAUGUAUGCAAACCAAUAGGUGCCAAACAAAACCGCACCGACUUCGUACUCGCAGCCUAAGCUAGCGAGCAAGUCCGUCAGACCAGGUGAAGCUCUUAGCCUGGACCCUGGCGUCGUUUUAAGAGCCACUGGGUGACAGCCUCGUUGACGGGUUGCUACCGACACUUAGUUAACUGAGCCGACCACUGUUGCGUCUACACAUAGGUGGCGGCUGAGAAAUAACUCGUAGACUGCGCCCGGAGAAGCCAUGGACUGUCCUCGUUGGACGCGGGUUCGAUUCCCGCCAUCUCCACAG
RNAcentral lists this transfer-messenger RNA (368 nucleotides) under Actinomycetaceae bacterium. It matches the Rfam family "transfer-messenger RNA". From Rfam's summary of the family: Bacterial tmRNA, also known as 10Sa RNA or SsrA, is named for its dual tRNA and mRNA-like properties. Lineage: Bacteria; Bacillati; Actinomycetota; Actinomycetes; Actinomycetales; Actinomycetaceae. The record is from RNAcentral.